GGAGAGAUGGCUCAAUGAUUAAGAGCACUGGCUGUUCUCCCAAAGGACCUGGGUUCAAUUCCCAGUUCCCUCA
Molecule: transfer RNA, 73 nt
Organism: Neotoma lepida (desert woodrat)
Lineage: Eukaryota; Metazoa; Chordata; Mammalia; Rodentia; Cricetidae
Rfam family: tRNA
About the family: Transfer RNA (tRNA) molecules are approximately 80 nucleotides in length. Their secondary structure includes four short double-helical elements and three loops (D, anti-codon, and T loops).
Source: Rfam